CAGCAGCCGCGGUAAUACCGGCCCCGCGAGUGGUCGGGGUGAUUAUUGGGCCUAAAGCGUCCGUAGCCGGGUUGGGAAGUCCUCCGGGAAAUCUGGCCGCUUAACGGUCAGAAUGCCGGAGGAUACUCCCAGCCUAGGGAGCGGGAGAGGCCGAGGGUAUUCCCGGAGUAGGGGUGAAAUCCUAUAAUCCCGGGAGGACCACCUGUGGCGAAGGCGCUCGGCUGGAACGCGUCCGACGGUGAGGGACGAAGGCCAGGGGAGCAAACCGGAUUAGAUACCCGGGUAGUCCUGGCGGUAAACGAUGCGGACUUUGUGUCGGACAAGCUAUGAGCUUGUCCGGUGCCGGAGGGAAACCGUUAAGUCCGCCGCCUGGGGAGUACGGCCGCAAGGCUGAAACUUAAAGGAAUUGGCGGG
Molecule: ribosomal RNA, 414 nt
Filed under: uncultured microorganism
Description: bacterial SSU rRNA
Rfam family: Archaeal small subunit ribosomal RNA
Source: RNAcentral